CCUACGGGAGGCAGCAGUCGAGAAUCAUUCACAAUGGGGGAAACCCUGAUGCAGCGACGCCGCGUGAGUGAAGAAGUAUUUCGGUAUGUAAAGCUCUAUCAGCAGGGAAGAGAAUGACGGUACCUGAGUAAGAAGCCCCGGCUAACUACGUGCCAGCAGCCGCGGUAAUACGUAGGGGGCAAGCGUUAUCCGGAUUUACUGGGUGUAAAGGGAGCGUAGACGGCGAAGAAAGUCUGAAGUGAAAGCCCGCGGCUCAACCGCGGAACUGCUUUGGAAACUUUUUUGCUGGAGUACCGGAGAGGUAAGCGGAAUUCCUAGUGUAGCGGUGAAAUGCGUAGAUAUUAGGAGGAACACCAGUGGCGAAGGCGGCUUACUGGACGGUAACUGACGUUGAGGCUCGAAAGCGUGGGGAGCAAACAGGAUUAGAUACCCCUGUAGUC
Molecule: ribosomal RNA, 440 nt
Filed under: uncultured bacterium
Lineage: Bacteria
Description: partial 16S ribosomal RNA
Rfam family: Bacterial small subunit ribosomal RNA
Source: RNAcentral